Molecule: long non-coding RNA, 584 nt
Filed under: Gossypium raimondii (Peruvian cotton)
Lineage: Eukaryota; Viridiplantae; Streptophyta; Magnoliopsida; Malvales; Malvaceae
Description: long non-coding RNA (GRAI_LNC003452)
Source: RNAcentral
GCUGUUUAAAAUAAGGGAUAAAUUUUAAAAUUAUACAUGAAUUUUAAUUUGGUGUAAUUAUGUACGUGAAAUUCUAAUUGUGGUUCAAAUAUAUACUUGAAAUUUUAAUUUUGAUUUAAUCAUAAACAUUUAAAGAAAUAAAUACAUCAAUUUAUUUUUAUAUUAGAUAAAUAUUGUAAUGGCCCAAAUCUGUCCCCAAACACAAAGAAACAAAAAGACCAAAAAAAAAAAACAAAGUCCAUUUACAAGCCCAAAUUAUAAGCCCAAACCAAUACCAAACCUUAAAAGGCCCAAAACAUAAAAAAAAAUAGAAACCCUAGUUUCCCUAAGGCCUCCAGCGCCGCUCCCCUACCACGUCGGCAUGCAAUGGCAAGGGGUGUGCAUUUCCACCACCGUUGACUCGGCCCCUUGCCACAGAGAUUUGCAAAAAAGAAAAAACAAAAACAAAAAGUAGAAAUGGCAGGAACAACGAAAAAAAAAAGAAAAGAUUAUGUAAUAUAUAGCUAUAAAAGCCAUAACAACGAAUGUAUUGUUUACGGGCAAGAAAUCGAAUACAAAAAAAAGAACAGAGUUUUAAAAAGGUG